GCAGUUGGUGCCUCCUAUUGGUGGCAGUUCCUUCUCCAGGAUCCUGUAAACCAGAGGCUAUGUCAGGAGCUAAGGACAUGAUGGCCAAGAAGAACUAUGCACAGGACAAACAAGCAGGAGACAGGGUUCUGGGAGAGAAGGUGAGCUCACUUCUGCAGAUGACUCUACUCACUGGCCACACCAUGCUCUAUAAACACCCUGCACCAUCUGUGAUGUCAGCUGCCAGCUGCCUGGAGAAUCUGCCCUGCUCUGGGAGCUUGUAUUAAAACACUCACUUAUAACUCCCUAUUAAUUUUUCACGAGGAGUUAUUUUUAACUUGCUCAAACCAUUGUCUGAAUAUGCCAAAUAUAUUUUCUUAAUGAACGAG
RNAcentral lists this long non-coding RNA (368 nucleotides) under Homo sapiens (human). RNAcentral describes it as "HSALNT0189417". The record is from RNAcentral. Lineage: Eukaryota; Metazoa; Chordata; Mammalia; Primates; Hominidae.